CCUGGUAGUCCACGCCCUAAACGAUGCGAACUGGACGUUGGGAGCAACUUGGCUCUCAGUGUCGAAGCUAACGCGUUAAGUUCGCCGCCUGGGGAGUACGGUCGCAAGACUGAAACUCAAAGGAAUUGACGGGGGCCCGCACAAGCGGUGGAGUAUGUGGUUUAAUUCGAUGCAACGCGAAGAACCUUACCUGGGUUUGACAUCGCCGGAAAACUCGUAGAGAUACGGGGUCCUUCGGGGCCGGUGACAGGUGGUGCAUGGCUGUCGUCAGCUCGUGUCGUGAAAUGUUGGGUUAAGUCCCGCAACGAGCGCAACCCUCGUUCGAUGUUGCCAGCGCGUUAUGGCGGGGACUCAUCGAAGACUGCCGGGGUCAACUCGGAGGAAGGUGGGGAUGACGUCAAGUCAUCAUGCCCCUUAUGUCCAGGGCUUCACGCAUGCUACAAUGGCCGGUACAAAGGGUUGCGAUGCCGUGAGGUGGAGCGAAUCCCAAAAAGCCGGUCUCAGUUCGGAUCGGGGUCUGCAACUCGACCCCGUGAAGUCGGAGUCGCUAGUAAUCGCAGAUCAGCAACGCUGCGGUGAAUACGUUCCCGGGCCUUGUACACACCGCCCGUCACACCAUGGGAGUUGAUUUCACCCGAAGCGGGGAAGCUAAACUGGCUA
RNAcentral lists this ribosomal RNA (660 nucleotides) under uncultured bacterium. RNAcentral describes it as "bacterial SSU rRNA". It matches the Rfam family "Bacterial small subunit ribosomal RNA", at positions 786 to 1444 of the family's 1533-position model. The record is from RNAcentral.